GCUUUGAGCUUUGGUUUUGCAGCCUCGACAGCAGCACAUCAGGCCCCCUUUCCCCAGCAAUGCCCAAGCUGAUCACUUAUUCUCAUCCACAGACACUCCUUCUGGUCUCGAAGAAGCUGAGAAAAAUGAGGUGGAGAAUACAAUCACCUAUUCACUUCUCAAGCAUCCUGAAGCUCCGGAUGAAGAAUCAGAUCACGACUACCAGAACCACAUUUAGUCUCUCUUGAGAUUGGGAAAAGCAAACCAGUAAGGCCAGGACCUAGCGUCUCCUGGUCCAAGGAAUGCUGUAGAUAUGAAAGAAAACAUCUAGAGUCCCUUCUGUGAGUCCUGAAACCAACAGACACUACGAUAUUGGUUCCCAAUGGUUGACUGUACUAAUGACUUCCAUAACUUACAGCUUCCCAACUAAAGACUCUUUUGCUAUAGAUCCACACAGCCAAUAAAAUUAAUCAACUUACUGUUGUUAAGAGACUACAGCAACGUGGGAACUGCUUAUAUUACAUGCUAAGGAGAACAAGUAACAUUAGGAUGCAUAAUCUCAGCGAGGAUCAACUAGACGUGUACCAACCUGUCAAAAGUGAUGCUUCUUUAUAAGAAACUUUAUUUCCUUAUUUUUCUAUAAAGGUCACAUAUUACUUUUA
Molecule: long non-coding RNA, 641 nt
Filed under: Rattus norvegicus (Norway rat)
Lineage: Eukaryota; Metazoa; Chordata; Mammalia; Rodentia; Muridae
Description: long non-coding RNA NONRATT008953
Source: RNAcentral